Canis lupus familiaris (dog) is the source of this 831-nucleotide long non-coding RNA. RefSeq lists it as uncharacterized. The transcript has 3 exons. Lineage: Eukaryota; Metazoa; Chordata; Mammalia; Carnivora; Canidae. The record is from RefSeq and is a predicted model, not a curated record.
CACCGGACAACCCGAGGGACUCGCAGAGCUGGACCUCCCCGCCCGGCAGGCCAGCAGCAGAGCCUCUGAGGCCCUCUCCCACCAGGUGACUUCGACUGCAAAGUUGAAGACCAAUUCACGUACUUCCCACUGGUUUGAGAAAGCAGCCAUCUCACUGAGGGAACAGGAGGAGAAGGCUUUACAGUAUAAAAAUUGUGCCUGAUGUGCCAGGAAAGUAACUCCAGCAAGGGAGAAGCAGAGAGAUUUUAAGAAUCAAACAUCAAGCCAAGAUUCUGUCCAAAAGGAGAUGUUUGCCACAGACACAAGACUCAUGAGUAAUUAUGAAACAGAAAGGAGUGUGGAGCACAAGUGACUAAACACCCCCCAAAAAAGAUCAGAGCAGACAAAUUGUGUCUGUACGUUUUAUAAUGAAUUUGUACUCCUCGAUGAGGCAUUUGAGGGAGUCUCCCAAGAUGCAGGCACCAACGACACCCAAGGAUCUUCUCUCCACCAGGAAUGAAUUCCUCUCUGCCCUCCCCUACUACUUCCACCUCUGUCUCUGGCCUUUCCAGGCCAUCUUGGUUCUUGUCCUCCGCGGCUGGAUGCCUGCACCUGCGCAAUGACUUUCCUGUAACGAGGAUGAGAAGUUAAACCUAUGAGCCCCCUGUUUUAGUGCAUAAGGAUUGGUGAGGACUAACUAUUCCCCCUGGGAUUGUGGAAAUGAGCCAGUGAUCUCCUCGGCACAAAUCUGUCCUUUUAUGCAAAAUAUUAUUAGGUUUUCUAGAGCUCUGCCUCGAUAAAAACCUUCCCUAAUCCAGUACAUUUCAAUAGAUGAAAUGUCUGCUACUGCCA